This is a long non-coding RNA of Carassius auratus (goldfish), 4549 nucleotides long. The record is from Ensembl. NCBI's taxonomy places the organism in Eukaryota, Metazoa, Chordata, Actinopteri, Cypriniformes, Cyprinidae.
UAUUUUUCAUCCAAUAUUUAUAUUUUAUAUCAGUUUUUAUUCAGUUGACAAAAACAAUUUGUAAUAGUUUUAGUUAACAAGAUGUAAGUUAUUUGGACAACUUAUAAGCCUUUUGCUUGUGUCUGUCUGUGUUUCUGUGUGUGUGUGUGUGUCUGUAUUUCUGUGUGUCUAUCUGUGUGUGUUUGUGUCUCUGUUUGUUUAUCUGUGUGUUUGUGUGAAACUAUUCCUUUAAGCCACAGUAUGUGUUAUUGCUGGUUUUCUGAGUGAGUUGUGGUGGUACUGCAGUGCAGCUGUGGAGUUGAUCUGGUUGCAUCAGUAUAAUCUGUGACCGCGCUCUGAUUCAUGAGCUCACUUAAUGAUUGAAUUGAUCAGUAUAAAGCAGAGAACAGUCCUCUCUCUCUCUCUCUCUCUCUCUCUUUCUCUCUCUCUGUCACUCUCAGCCUGCACAAGGUCCGCUGUGAGUGUGUUUCUGUAAAGAUGCCGUUCUGAUGUCCAGGUGUGUGUGUGUUCAGGAUGCAUUGCUCGCUGGCUCUGCGCUGUCUGUGUAUCUGUGUGCUGCUGUGUUUGUGCUGUCGAGCGUUUGAGCUGCAGGACACCAUCCAUGCUCUGAUUGAGGAGAACAUCCACCUCCACGACCAGCUGGAGAACCUGACGAGAGCCCUGCGAGAGCUGCGGGAGCUUCUGUUCCAGCACAGCGACGAUCACACUCAUGAGCAUGAUGAGGAACUUCAGCAUCUCUGGGAGGAAUGGUCACAGCACAGCAUCACACCUGAGACUCACCUGUUGUUGGAACACGCUCUCUGUGGACAUGACCUCCAUGGCUCCGCCCCCUCCAGUUCAGGACACGCCCCAUUAAUCAUUAUGGCUUUUAUAGUUCUUGCACACUUUCUUAUAUGAAGUGUGUAUGCAGACUUACAGUGAGAUGAGACUAUUCAAAUACAUUUGACAAUCAUUCAGAGCAGAUGAAUCCAAUCCAAUGUGGAUCAACACUGUGUCAAUCCUGAAGUUUGGUUUUGGACAAAAAAAGAAGGACAGUACAGAGUAGUUUAUCAGGUGAUAGUUUGAGGCCAGUGUGUGUGUUUUUUCACCUUACACAUUCUUGUCAGAGAAGUUUUUAAUGCAACUCAUUUUUAAUUCAGAUUGCUGCAGUUGCAACACAUCGGGCUGAAACUCUUGAUGAAGUUUUAGUAUUAAAUUCUUUUUAACUGUUCAUUGUCUUGUCAGUGACUGACUGUCUCUAUAUUAAUUUAUAUUAAACAAUUCCACAUGCAAUCAAUGAAAAUCAAGUCUAAAUGUGUAUUUAACUUUGUUUGGUAAUGUUGCAUGUUUUUAAUAAAUGUACAAAUGAAUACAAGGCAUGAAAUUAUAAUUUUUCCAAAUUCAGAUUUUGUUGUGAGAACAUUUUUAUUGGGUAUGUAAGCAACAAUUCCAAUUGAGAAUCUACAUUUUUAACCAAGUACGGAAAACUGAAAAACAACACAGCAAAACGGAGGACGUGUUCAGAUAAGAAGCGGAUUAUGAUGAAGCCGACAGAGACGAGAUUACUGACCCUUGAAUUUGAGAGGUGAAUUUUCACAAACAGAAAUGGCAGAGCAUUGAGGUAAUCAGAAUUCCAACCUUCUGACACGGAAUGUUCACAUGUUUUAAAAUUCCUCGUAGAACUUUAGAAAUAAUAUAAAACAAUAGUCUUGGUACAGUACGACUUUAGAUUAUUAUCAUUAAUACUAUAAACAAAAAUAAACAGGAUAGAAAAAUAAAAAACAGAUUGAAAAAUGCAAUAUAUUGUUCUCUGGAACACCAAAUUUACAAAUAAAAUAAAUCAACUAUCAACCGUACGAAUACUUAGCAUACGGACAAUUAAGUUACCUGGAGAGAAACUCCGUCACAACAGAGAAUUCGGUUAAAAGCGCGUUUGUAACAUUUAAAUAACAUUAAAUUAGCAAAAAGGGACCCACUGUAUACAUCAAAGCCUGCAGACUUAUACACACGGUCAUGAAAAAAAGCUUUGACCAUUAUUUGCGAAUGAUAAUGCACUUUCUGACAUCAGUUCUAGUUACAGAAAUGUUUUCCCUUAUAAAAGGCAUUAGUUGAUUUUUGGGCUAGUGAAGUGAAGGUACAAAACUGUUCUGUACCACAGAGGAGAGGACACACGCUUAUUGUGUAGUGCAUUCAACAUGCAGGUCUGCACAGAUGUGCAGCUAACGCUCAGACUGAAUGCCACAUCUGGAUUCAACAUGGAUUUCGGCCGGUAUUUCUGAGAGCACAAGUACAACAAGUACACAAAAUACACUAAAAUAAUUCAGAAUAACACGGGCACUAAACAAAAGCAUUGACUUUACAACAGCUUCAAAUGAGCACCAUUGUAACCAAGAUAAACCUGUAAUGGGUGAAUCUCACAAAAAAGUCAUAUUUUACCCAAAAUGUUAAAGAAAUACAUAAGCUGCUGUGAUAUUUUGUGCUUGAGAGUAAUAACUAUGGAUAUUGCAAAUAAUAAUUUUGAGAUAAAAAGUUGCAAUUAUUUUUGUUUGUUUGUUUAUUCUGCAACAAAAAUUGUAAGAUACAAACUCAGAAUUCUAACUUUGUCGCAAUUUCGUGUUAGCAUUACGAUAUUUUGUCUUUUUAACUCAGAAUUUCAAGUUAACAUCUUCCCAAUUCUGACUCUUUUUUUUUUUUGGCACAUUAAAAAGAUAAAAAGUCACAAUUAUUUUUAUUUAUUUAUUUAUUUUCUAUCAGAAACAAGCUUCAAUAAGAAAUGCCUUUGUCGAAAAGUGAUUUAUAUUAUUCUCUUCAAUAAAAAAAGUUAAAUUACAAAAGAUAAAGAAAUUAAAAGUACAUUUUGCAUAGUCAAAAGAAAGCCUUGUGGGUCCACUUCUUGCAUUUCUUGACAAUUAAACACAUUUUUGUCUGAAAUACGUCUAAAUAAGACUGUUACACUGUAAUGUUUUUUAGCAAUUCAAAAAUUCUGUAUAACUGUAAUAAUCUUAAUAGCAAAACAACCAAAACACAAGUUUACAAAAGUAACUAUGAAAUAUGUCAAAAUGAAUUUUUUUGCAGGGGGUAAAAAUGUGCUUGUCAUAAAAAUGUCACUAUGCAGAUCUUCAAAAUGUGCUUUCCUUCUCAUUUUGGGUGAAAUAUGACCCAGACCUGUUCUCAUGAGGGAUUCACCCUUAUUAACCCUUCCAACAAGACUCAAACCCAUUUGAUUGAGACACGCCCCCUUAAAGUGACAGGCUGUUUUAUAAACAAGGGUCAUGUAUGUUGAUAUUCACAGGUGUAUAUGCACCUUCACCAGUUCACUGAUCUGUCCCAUAAACACACACACACACACACAUUCACAGUCACUUUCAAAGCUCAUUUACACAAACACACACACACACACACUUCCCUGUCUGACGGAGUGUUAGAAUAACACGUUUGAAUGACAACACCCCUGAAUAACCUUCCUUAAUGAGACACACUAAAUAGUAUAAUCAAUAAUCUUUUUUUCUUUGUUUUCCUAUUGCACGUUAGCAUUUCUUUCUUUUUCUUGUGACAAAAUUACAAUAAAAAAUAUCAGUUAAACAAUAAGUGUAUAUGUUCAUAUUAUACCUCCCAAUGAUCUUAAUUCUCUUCAAUAAACUGUUGAUACUUAUUGUAACAGUAGGAGUAUUAUAAUAACUUAUUAUUAUUAUUAUUAUUAAUUUGAAAGAAAUCAAGCACCAAAGAAACAGGCUGACAGAAAGAGAAGAGAGAAAGACAAGAGAUAGAGAGCUUGACAGUUUCUACAGCCCGGAUGUCCUGAGUGUUCCUCCCUGCGAGAUGAUUGGCUUGUUUUCUAGAGGAGUCAAAUCUGAUUGGACAUCCGUGGCAGGUAAAGGCAGGAUUUCCUUUAGACUGUAGACAUCUCUAGUGCUAACUCCCCCAAAGCCCCGCCCACACCACUUCUUUCUGUUUCUGCAGUCCAAUCAGUGGCUGAAUGCUGAAGGGGGCAGGCUGUGGGGGGUUUGAUGAGUGCACACACACUCACAAUCUCACACACACACACACACACACACACACACACUAAAGGAAGCACACAGGUCCGACUUCGAUGUGAAAGCGUGAUGAGGCCGUUGUCUUUGGUAGGUUGUUUAUACGUACGACAGGAAGUAAGGCGGGGUCAGACACCCGGAACAGGAAGUCAGCAUGUUGCCAGCGCCCGUUUAGUUGCUGUGUAAUACAAAGCACAUGAUCAGUGAUGUCAUGCAUAAGUACAUCUCAGAAAUAAUUAUUUACUAUAAUAAUACUAGAUUAAACUUGAGUGGCCUUUUUAAAUUAUUUUGGUUAAAAUAAUGUAAGCAAUAUAUUUAGCUGAGAUGUAUUUUUUUUAUUGUUUUAUUUAAUUAUUAUUUAUUAUAAUAAAGAACCCUAAAAAUGACCUGAAAGUCACAUUGUUGCAACAAAACUUUUGUUUGUGUGUGUUUUCAAAAGCAGAGGUUUCCUGCUAACUUUGCCAGUCUUAUGGAGGAAAGAACUAUUGAAAGCAUCUAAUAAUCAUGUUUUUAAAAAUGCAUUAUUAAAAUCUAUUUAC